Molecule: ribosomal RNA, 422 nt
Filed under: uncultured bacterium
Lineage: Bacteria
Description: bacterial SSU rRNA
Rfam family: Bacterial small subunit ribosomal RNA
Source: RNAcentral
UGAGGAAUAUUGGGCAAUGCCCGCAAGGGUGACCCAGCAACGCCGCGUGGAGGAUGAAUGUCGUAAGAUUGUAAACUCCUGUUAGAGGGGAAGAAUAGUACCGGUUGGACCGGUAUAUGACUGUACCCUCAGAGAAAGCCCCGGCUAACUCCGUGCCAGCAGCCGCGGUAAUACGGAGGGUGCGAGCGUUAUCCGGAUUUACUGGGUUUAAAGGGUGCGUAGGUGGGCUUAUAAGUCAGUGGUGAAAUCUCCGAGCUUAACUUGGAAACUGCCGUUGAUACUAUAGGUCUUGAAUUAUCUGGAGGUAAGCUGAAUAUGUCAUGUGGCGGUGAAAUGCUUAGAUAUGACAUACAACACCAAUUGCGAAGGCAGCUUACUACAUAUAAAUUGACGCUGAGGCACGAAAGCGUGGGGAUCAAACA